CACGUAGGGGGCGAGCGUUGUUCGGAAUUACUGGGCGUAAAGGGCAUGUAGGCGGUCUGGUAAGCCUGGCGUGAAAGGCCACAGCUCAACUGUGGGAUUGCGUUGGGAACUGCUGGGCUUGAGUUAUGGAGAGGGAGCUAGAAUUCCUGGUGUAGGGGUGAAAUCUGUAGAUAUCAGGAAGAAUACCGAUGGCGAAGGCAAGCUCCUGGCCGAUGACUGACGCUGAGGUGCGAAAGUGUGGGGAUCAAAC
Molecule: ribosomal RNA, 250 nt
Filed under: uncultured bacterium
Lineage: Bacteria
Also listed under: 1 other name
Description: partial 16S ribosomal RNA
Rfam family: Bacterial small subunit ribosomal RNA
Source: RNAcentral